Molecule: long non-coding RNA, 972 nt
Organism: Sebastes umbrosus (honeycomb rockfish)
Lineage: Eukaryota; Metazoa; Chordata; Actinopteri; Perciformes; Sebastidae
Exons: 5
Source: RefSeq, a predicted model, not a curated record
CUGAAAGCGACUACCGGACGCUAGUAAAAACGUCCGCCUAAAAAGUGCCAUACAAAAUAAGCCAUGACAAUGUGACAGUGAGCCAGCAUGCAUAAUAUCAAGACCCUGGAACUGAAGCAGCUAAGUGGAAUUCAGCCAUCAUUAAUUUUAUUAUUUACAUCUGUGCUCAUUAUGGCUUGCAGACUUUUUGACUUGUCAAAGAAAAGCAAUGGUGUAACCAAUGGACCCUGAACCUGGAACUCCUACAUGCACCGAAGCCAUCAUUAAUGACAAUAAAACCACGUUUUAAUCUUGCAUGUUUUAAUCUGGCAACGCUGGAUCUGACCUCCAGGAGGAAGCGAGGGCUCUCUGGCAUGAAGACGACUCCGACAAGUGCAGCCAGCGCCGGGAAGAGACACACCAGAAUGAAUAAUCUCCAACUGUGGAUCUGGAGCUCUGAACCGAUGGCGAAGCCCCAGCCUGGAAAACAAUCCAGCACACAGCAUUGAGGGAUGAUUCCCCAGGCGGUGAAGGAGGCGUACAGGCCUCCCAGCAUCCAGAACAUGCAGAGCCAGCUCAGAUGUUCUCCACGUUUAUCCAUCUGCAGGAACUCGGCGAAGUAGGUGUACACUAUCGGGAUGGAGCCGCCGAUUCUGGGGGGAGGAAUCACAAGAGAUCUCAGAAAAUAAAUCUCUUCUCUUCCUCACUAAACACUUUCAUUUUGUCCAUCACUCUCUGAGGAUUUAGAGGAUAAUUUUCUGUGAUAUCUGGCAUUUGACAUGUUACUAUUGGUUAAUGUUUGUGAUUUAGGAUUGUAAGCGUAUUGUUCUAAUGACUUGGUUCACCCAAAUUACACAAAAACGUAUGUUCUCACCUACUACUGAUAUCUACUGCAGAUAAUUUUACUCUAACUCCACCCCAACACAUUGGAGGUGCAUGGAGUUAAAUUUUUAGUGCUCAAAACAUUAAAUAUUACAUUUAAAAGACUCAUCA